This 90-nucleotide transfer RNA is filed under the name bacterium. Its description in RNAcentral is "tRNA-Ser". It matches the Rfam family "tRNA". From Rfam's summary of the family: Transfer RNA (tRNA) molecules are approximately 80 nucleotides in length. Their secondary structure includes four short double-helical elements and three loops (D, anti-codon, and T loops). RNAcentral also lists the same sequence under 1 other name. The record is from RNAcentral.
GGAAGGGUGUCCGAGUGGUCGAUGGUGCAACCUUGGAAAGGUUGUGUAGGCGCAAGUCUACCGGGGGUUCGAAUCCCCCCCCUUCCGCCA